RNAcentral lists this ribosomal RNA (438 nucleotides) under uncultured bacterium. RNAcentral describes it as "bacterial SSU rRNA". It matches the Rfam family "Bacterial small subunit ribosomal RNA", at positions 954 to 1392 of the family's 1533-position model. The record is from RNAcentral.
GCACAACGCGAAGAACCUUACCUACUCUUGACAUCCAGAGAACUUAGCAGAGAUGCUUUGGUGCCUUCGGGAACUCUGAGACAGGUGCUGCAUGGCUGUCGUCAGCUCGUGUUGUGAAAUGUUGGGUUAAGUCCCGCAACGAGCGCAACCCUUAUCCUUUGUUGCCGGCGGUUCGGCCGGGAACUCAAAGGAGACUGCCAGUGAUAAACUGGAGGAAGGUGGGGAUGACGUCAAGUCAUCAUGGCCCUUACGAGUAGGGCUACACACGUGCUACGAUGGCAUAUACAAAGAGAAGCGACCUCGCGAGAGCAAGCGGACCUCAUAAAGUAUGUCGUAGUCCGGAUUGGAGUCUGCAACUCGACUCCAUGAAGUCGGAAUCGCUAGUAAUCGUGGAUCAGAAUGCCACGGUGAAUACGUUCCCGGGUCUUGUACACACCG